This 508-nucleotide ribosomal RNA is filed under the name uncultured bacterium. Its description in RNAcentral is "partial 16S ribosomal RNA". It matches the Rfam family "Bacterial small subunit ribosomal RNA", at positions 28 to 523 of the family's 1533-position model. The record is from RNAcentral.
GAUGAACGCUAGCUACAGGCUUAACACAUGCAAGUCGAGGGGAAACGAUAUUGGAAGCUUGCUUCCGAUAGGCGUCGACCGGCGCACGGGUGAGUAACGCGUAUCCAACCUGCCCACCACUUGGGGAUAACCUUGCGAAAGUAAGGCUAAUACCCAACGAUAUCCCAAGAAGCCAUCUGAAAGGGAUUAAAGAUUUAUCGGUGAUGGAUGGGGAUGCGUCUGAUUAGCUUGUUGGCGGGGUAACGGCCCACCAAGGCGACGAUCAGUAGGGGUUCUGAGAGGAAGGUCCCCCACAUUGGAACUGAGACACGGUCCAAACUCCUACGGGAGGCAGCAGUGAGGAAUAUUGGUCAAUGGGCGAGAGCCUGAACCAGCCAAGUAGCGUGCAGGAUGACGGCCCUAUGGGUUGUAAACUGCUUUUAUAAGGGAAUAAAGUGAGCCUCGUGAGGCUUUUUGCAUGUACCUUAUGAAUAAGGACCGGCUAAUUCCGUGCCAGCCGCCGCAGUAA